CUCUUGGCGGCGCAUAGUCCGAACAAAGACGCCAAGCCUGCGUGUCCUGAACAGUCCCUCACAGUGAAAUUCAAAUGCCUGAAGAAACUGUUACGCGCACACAGCGUGAGUUCAGGAUGUCUUGUCGACGGGAAUUCUUUUGUAUCUGUUAAUCGCGAUGUCGGCCACCCUAUUUUUCUAAACAGCGGGCACAAGCGAGAUAUACGGUGGCCUGGCACGCCGCUAUACAAACGCGCGUCGCCGCAGGGUCAUCCAGCUGUGAACGGCUGCAUGCAAGUAGUCGAAUUGCGAAAGAUACCGGCAUUGCUAUCGAAUUCUUAGGGGUUGUUCAUAAGCCCGAGUAUCGUGAUAGAUGAGUGUUUGACGUGGAAGAAGCAAGUGGAAAUUGUGCUGAUAGAGGCAGUGUUGUGCUGUUUCGGAGGUGAAAGGGGCUGUCCCGUAUGAAUGUUUCGGCAUCGCCGCCUCCAGACAAGACGGCUGUUCAUCUCUGCUGAAACCAACCCCCCCCCCUUUUCCCCCGGAUCAUCCGCAAUUAUUUUGUGUCGCGAUCACUCGAGCUCUUUGUUGGAAAGAGAGUACCCUUUUUGGAACAGCAAUGACAAACAGAACUCCCGAGGGGAUCGGUGGGCAAGUAGCUGCUGAAAAAAGACGUGGUUCGGGAGGCUUAUCAGAAUGUACUCUUUUUCGUUGGGUACGAGGUCCCAGUCUUCUGCAGAAAAGGUGUAGAAGGUGCACGGUUUUCGUAGCUUUUGCAUGAACUGGGUGAUUUAACCAUUUACGGAACAGGUAUUUUCGGUGUAUUCAUCCAGAGUGCGUAGCUGAGCACCUGGUCCUUUCGGUGGCAUGUUGCAAGUUAGGUUUGUUGUGCUAAAGUGCUGCUGUCGCUGCCUGCAGUUUUUUCUCUUGACCUAGCGUUUGCCACAGGUAGUCGGUUGGGACUUUCCAGACGACCAGAAACUUUCUUGGAGAGCCGCACGUGGCGCAGUUCCGGGAAGUGGUUGUGUUUCAUCGCCUGCGGUGAAAGGCAAUUUCCAACAGUUUUUAUGGAAAGUUCGAUCCGUGGACUACCAAGCAGGGUGGCUUAUAAGUGGUCCAGGUAGCUUCCAUGCUUGCAGGUGCUGCAGGCUAUGCUUAGAGGCCAGAACAACGGGUGUCCCUUCAUUCUUGAUAUACUUUUAGGGAGACCAUCCGUUUCACAACAGUGUCUCUCCAAUUUCACUGUUCAUGAUCAGAGAAUAUUUUCGGAUUAAAAUUAGUGAGUCACAGCACUAGUCGCACCACAGUCAUGAUGUAUUAUCUAUGCCUACAUAAAAAACCUCAGUUUUACGCCACCGCAGUUUCAGGACUCCUAUUCGGUCACAGGGGGUGUUUCCCAUCCCACCUUACAGGUACAGGGCUUCCCGCGUGGUGGGAUUUCGGAAGCAUUUAUCGUCUUUGGCGUUCUCCUAGGCACCAGAACAUCUCCCACUAGCGAACAAUAGGCCAACACAUCGUUGCAGCGCGAACGUUUCAUCGAUAUAUUUGUUCAGAAUAUAGAUCCUCUACAGGGUUAGAAAGUGGGUGCGGUAAUACACGCACUUUUGUCGUGUGCAGGCAGAGGCGCUUUCUGGUAGAAACUGUGUAAGCACUUGUCGAGAGGAGAAGGGAAGCUGUUUCUGUCAUUCAAAUUCACUAUGCGUAUAUCAGCCACUUUGUGCAACACAUGCGGUACGUGUAGCACACUAUUUUCGUGGAGAACGUGGAAUGGACUCGUCUGUGCCAUCAAAAAGGUGGCCGUGGGACUGUCGUGUCAUGUGUGUGACACCACCGCCACUGCGAUGUUUAUUUCAGCUGGCCGGAACUGAAUUAAAAGAUUGUGACCAACGAUGAACUAAUCAAGAUGUGAAAAGGGGACGUC
This 1897-nucleotide long non-coding RNA is filed under the name Toxoplasma gondii VEG. Lineage: Eukaryota; Apicomplexa; Conoidasida; Eucoccidiorida; Sarcocystidae. The record is from RNAcentral.